AAGUCGUAACAAGGUUUCCGUAGGUGAACCUGCGGAAGGAUCAUUAACACGUAUCCAACGUUAAACAACCCUGUGAACUUUCAGCCUGCUCUUGUAACCAUGAGGAACAGCAAUCCCGGUAAAUCAUUGCAAACAGUUUUGAUUCGGGACCUCUGUCCAAAAGGUGUUCACUGAUUGUGUAAGGAUAACGCCUCACGGUUGCCAGAGGUCGAUCACCGACCGGCAGACAUGUCACAGGGUCACCACGCCCCUUAAUCACCCCAAUUUGAAAUUGCUCCUACCUGGUGGUAACGCACUGGGUCAAAAAAACCGAACAACUGUUAACAAUGGAUAUCUUGGUUCUC
This 344-nucleotide unclassified non-coding RNA is filed under the name fungal sp. RNAcentral describes it as "partial internal transcribed spacer region". The stretch from base 1 to 46 matches the Rfam family "Eukaryotic small subunit ribosomal RNA", at positions 1786 to 1831 of the family's 1831-position model. Lineage: Eukaryota; Fungi. The record is from RNAcentral.